This 253-nucleotide ribosomal RNA is filed under the name uncultured bacterium. RNAcentral describes it as "partial 16S ribosomal RNA". It matches the Rfam family "Bacterial small subunit ribosomal RNA", at positions 524 to 776 of the family's 1533-position model. The record is from RNAcentral.
UACGUAGGGGGCAAGCGUUGUCCGGAAUUAUUGGGCGUAAAGCGUGCGCAGGCGGUUUUGUAAGCCAGAUGUGAAAUCCCCGGGCUUAACCUGGGAAUGGCAUUUGGGACUGCAAGGCUCGAGUGCGGCAGAGGAGACUGGAAUUCCUGGUGUAGCAGUGAAAUGCGUAGAUAUCAGGAGGAACACCGGUGGCGAAGGCGGGUCUCUGGGCAGUAACUGACGCUGAGGAGCGAAAGCGUGGGGAGCGAACAGG